This 468-nucleotide ribosomal RNA is filed under the name uncultured bacterium. Its description in RNAcentral is "partial 16S ribosomal RNA". It matches the Rfam family "Bacterial small subunit ribosomal RNA", at positions 28 to 507 of the family's 1533-position model. The record is from RNAcentral.
GACGAACGCUGGCGGCGUGCUUAACACAUGCAAGUCGAACGGAAAGGCCCUGCUUUUGUGGGGUGCUCGAGUGGCGAACGGGUUAGUAACACGUGAGUAACCUGCCCUUGACUUUGGGAUAACUUCAGGAAACUGGGGCUAAUACCGGAUAGGAGCUCCUGCUGCAUGGUGGGGGUUGGAAAGUUUCGGCGGUUGGGGAUGGACUCGCGGCUUAUCAGCUUGUUGGUGGGGUAGUGGCUUACCAAGGCUUUGACGGGUAGCCGGCCUGAGAGGGUGACCGGCCACAUUGGGACUGAGGUACGGCCCAGACUCCUACGGGAGGCAGCAGUGGGGAAUAUUGCACAAUGGGCGGAAGCCUGAUGCAGCAACGCCGCGUGCGGGAUGACGGCCUUCGGGUUGUAAACCGCUUUCGCCUGUGACGAAGCGUGAGUGACGGUAAUGGGUAAAGAAGCACCGGCUAACUACGUG